This 370-nucleotide ribosomal RNA is filed under the name uncultured bacterium. RNAcentral describes it as "bacterial SSU rRNA". It matches the Rfam family "Bacterial small subunit ribosomal RNA", at positions 28 to 401 of the family's 1533-position model. The record is from RNAcentral.
GAUGAACGCUAGCGGCAGGCUUAACACAUGCAAGUCGAGGGGUAUUGGUUUUCGGACCAAGAGACCGGCGCACGGGUGCGUAACGCGUAUGCAAUCUACCUUUUGCAGAGGGAUAGCCCAGAGAAAUUUGGAUUAAUACCUCAUAGUAUAGUACUUUGGCAUCAAGGAACUAUUAAAGUCACAACGGCAAAGAUGAGCAUGCGUCCCAUUAGCUAGUUGGUAAGGUAACGGCUUACCAAGGCUACGAUGGGUAGGGGUCCUGAGAGGGAGAUCCCCCACACUGGUACUGAGACACGGACCAGACUCCUACGGGAGGCAGCAGUGAGGAAUAUUGGACAAUGGGCGAAAGACCUGAUCCAGCAAUGCCGCG